RNAcentral lists this transfer RNA (41 nucleotides) under Aegilops biuncialis. RNAcentral's name for it is "partial tRNA-Tyr". Lineage: Eukaryota; Viridiplantae; Streptophyta; Magnoliopsida; Poales; Poaceae. The record is from RNAcentral.
GGGUCGAUGCCCGAGUGGUUAAUGGGGACGGACUGUAAAUU